This 201-nucleotide long non-coding RNA is filed under the name Mytilus galloprovincialis (Mediterranean mussel). The record is from RNAcentral. Lineage: Eukaryota; Metazoa; Mollusca; Bivalvia; Mytilida; Mytilidae.
CAAAUACAAUAAGUAAACAAAUCAAUCUUGGUUUGCGAGAUAAUGCAUUUACAUAAACUCCCAAACCUGUCCAUCCUUAAAUAUCACUCCCGUUCAUAAAUUCAAUUGUACACGCUUACUAGGAGGUUGAUCGUUGGGUUGCUAUAACCAAACAACCCAGAUGUGAAACCAGUAAGCAUGGUUCGAACCAAAGAACCCGGA